RNAcentral lists this unclassified non-coding RNA (539 nucleotides) under Pleurocordyceps sinensis. RNAcentral's name for it is "Polycephalomyces sinensis sequence contains ITS1, ITS2". The stretch from base 152 to 305 matches the Rfam family "5.8S ribosomal RNA". The record is from RNAcentral. Lineage: Eukaryota; Fungi; Ascomycota; Sordariomycetes; Hypocreales; Polycephalomycetaceae.
AUCCGUGUUGAACUACACCUGUUGCUUCGGCGGGCCCGCCGUGGUUCACGCCCGGCCGCCGGGGGGCCUUGUGCCCCCGGGCCCGCGCCCGCCGAAGACCCCUCGAACGCUGCCCUGAAGGUUGCCGUCUGAGUAUAAAAUCAAUCAUUAAAACUUUCAACAACGGAUCUCUUGGUUCCGGCAUCGAUGAAGAACGCAGCGAAAUGCGAUAAGUAAUGUGAAUUGCAGAAUUCCGUGAAUCAUCGAAUCUUUGAACGCACAUUGCGCCCCCUGGCAUUCCGGGGGGCAUGCCUGUCCGAGCGUCAUUGCUAACCCUCCAGCCCGGCUGGUGUGUUGGGUCGGCGUCCCCCCCGGGGGACGGGCCCGAAAGGCAGCGGCGGCGCCGCGUCCGAUCCUCGAGCGUAUGGGGCUUUGUCACGCGCUCUGGUAGGGUCGUCCGUGCUGGCCAGCCAGCGACCUCACGGUCACCUAUUUUUUCUCUUAGGUUGACCUCGGAUCAGGUAGGGAUACCCGCUGAACUUAAGCAUAUCAAUAAGCGU